GAUGAACGCUGGCGGCGUGCCUAAUACAUGCAAGUCGAACGAACAGAUGAGGAGCUUGCUCCUCUGACGUUAUCGGCCGACGGGUGAUUAACUCGUGGUUAACCUAACUACAAGACUGGGAUAACAUCAGGAAACCGUGGCUAAUACCGGAUAAUAUAUUGAACCGCGUUGUUCAAUAGUGAAAGACGGUUUUGCUGUUACUUAUAGACUGAUCCGCGCCGCAUUAGCUAGUUGGUAAGGUAACGGCUUAGCAACACUACGAUGCGUAGCCGACCUGAGAGGGUGAUCGGCCACACGGGAACUGAGACACGGUCGAGACACCUACGGGAGGCAGCAGUAGGGAAUCUUCCGCAAUGGGCGAAAGCGUGACGGAGCAACGCGGCGUGAGUGAUGAAGGUCCUCGGAUCGUAAAACUCUGUUGUUAGGGAAGAAGAAAAGUGUAAGUAACUAUGCACGUAAUGACGGUACCGAAUCAGAAAGCCCCGGCUAACUACGUG
RNAcentral lists this ribosomal RNA (497 nucleotides) under uncultured bacterium. RNAcentral describes it as "partial 16S ribosomal RNA". It matches the Rfam family "Bacterial small subunit ribosomal RNA", at positions 28 to 507 of the family's 1533-position model. The record is from RNAcentral.